AUGAUACAUCCAUUUGAUCUGAAAUUUUUUGUGCAUAACCUACACUCAUCCAUGUUUAUUUUGAUGUAAAGAUAAUGAUUUUAGCUUAUGUGGUUUGAGAGCUAUGAAUUUUUGAACUAGGGUGUGACAACUUGUGUCACACCAAUGAUAUGCCAUUUCAUGAAUUUUAAUGACAUGCUUCCUGACAUCCAAUUGACCUAAAUUGUUGCAUAAAC
Molecule: long non-coding RNA, 215 nt
Filed under: Lathyrus oleraceus (garden pea)
Lineage: Eukaryota; Viridiplantae; Streptophyta; Magnoliopsida; Fabales; Fabaceae
Description: Pisum sativum (pea) long non-coding RNA (PSAT_LNC005752)
Source: RNAcentral